AACGUAGGAGGCAAGCGUUAUCCGGAGUUACUGGGCGUAAAGCGCGUGUAGGUGGAUUGGUAAGUUACUUAUAAAAGCUCCUGGCUAAACUAGGAGAGGUUGAGUGAUACUGCCAGUCUUGAAUAGAGGAGAGGUUGACGGAAUUCCGCGUGUAGUGGUGAAAUGCGUAGAGAUGCGGAAGAACACCAGUGGCGAAGGCGGUCAACUGGCCUCAUAUUGACACUCAGACGCGAAGGCAUGGGUAGCGAACAGG
RNAcentral lists this ribosomal RNA (253 nucleotides) under uncultured bacterium. RNAcentral describes it as "partial 16S ribosomal RNA". It matches the Rfam family "Bacterial small subunit ribosomal RNA", at positions 524 to 776 of the family's 1533-position model. The record is from RNAcentral.